GACGAACGCUGGCGGCGUGCUUAACACAUGCAAGUCGAACGGAAAGGCCCUGCUUGCAGGGUACUCGAGUGGCGAACGGGUGAGUAACACGUGGGUGAUCUGCCCUGCACUUCGGGAUAAGCCUUGGAACCUGGGUCUAAUACCGGAUAGAAGCCAUUUUUAGUGUGAUUGUUUGAGAGUUUUUUCGGUGUAGGAUGAGCUCGCGGCCUAUCAGCUUGUUGGUGUGGUAAUGGCCUACCAAGGCGGCGACGGGUAGCCGGCCUGAGAGGGUGGACGGGCACAGUGGGACUGAGAUACGGCCCAGACUCCUACGGGAGGCAGAAGUGGGGAAGAUUGCAAAAGGGGCGCAAGCCUGAUGCAGCGACGCCGCGGGGGGGAUGACGGCCUUCGGGUUGGAAACGCCUUUCGCUAGGGACGAAGCUUUUUGUGACGGUACCUAGAUAAGAAGCACCGGCUAACUACGUG
This 465-nucleotide ribosomal RNA is filed under the name uncultured bacterium. RNAcentral's name for it is "partial 16S ribosomal RNA". It matches the Rfam family "Bacterial small subunit ribosomal RNA", at positions 28 to 507 of the family's 1533-position model. The record is from RNAcentral.